This 248-nucleotide ribosomal RNA is filed under the name uncultured bacterium. Its description in RNAcentral is "partial 16S ribosomal RNA". It matches the Rfam family "Bacterial small subunit ribosomal RNA", at positions 527 to 779 of the family's 1533-position model. The record is from RNAcentral.
CGGAGGAGCUAGCGUUAUUCGGAAUUACUGGCGUAAGCGCACGUAGGCGGCUUGUAAGUUAGAGGUGAAGCCUGGAGCUCAACUCCAGAAUUGCCUUUAAGACUGCAUCGCUUGAAUCCAGGAGAGGUGAGUGGAAUUCCGAGUGUAGAGGUGAAAUUCGUAGAUAUUCGGAAGAACACCAGUGGCGAAGGCGGCUCACUGGACUGGUAUUGACGCUGAGGUGCGAAAACGUGGGAGCAAACAGGAUU